CGGGGGAUAGCUCAGUUUGGUUUAGAGUGCAGCGUUCGGGACGCUGAGGUCGUGGGUUCAAGUCCCACUCCCCCGACCA
Molecule: transfer RNA, 79 nt
Filed under: Candidatus Omnitrophota bacterium
Lineage: Bacteria; Pseudomonadati; Candidatus Omnitrophota
Also listed under: 1 other name
Description: tRNA-Pro
Rfam family: tRNA
About the family: Transfer RNA (tRNA) molecules are approximately 80 nucleotides in length. Their secondary structure includes four short double-helical elements and three loops (D, anti-codon, and T loops).
Source: RNAcentral